Camellia sinensis is the source of this 487-nucleotide non-coding RNA. NCBI's taxonomy places the organism in Eukaryota, Viridiplantae, Streptophyta, Magnoliopsida, Ericales, Theaceae. The record is from RefSeq and is a predicted model, not a curated record.
UAGACUGUGUACUUUUCUCAUUAUCUUUGUAUCUCAUAUUGUUGGAAUUGAUUGUAUGACAUGAAUAGGAAUCUGAUGGAAAUAAAGUUGUGAAAGAUAUCAUUUUUGGCCCAGGAGAAAAGAAAUAUCGGUUCUGUAAGCAUAUCUCAAAACAACGCGUACCUGGUCUGUCUGAUGAUUUGAUAAAAAAUGGAAAGCACUUCAUAUUAAUACGAAAUCCACUCAGUAUUUUGCCAUCUUUUGACAAGGUUGUGGCCCCAUCGUUUCUCGAGCUAGGAUUGGGAGACUUGGUCUCCAUAUACAGCGAGCUUUGUGGAUUGGGAAAGCCCCCAGCAGUCAUUGAUGCAUCAGAACUUCAAGAAAAUCCCGAGGCAAUGGAAGGGUUGUGCUGGUCAAUUAGCGAGUGUUCCAUGAAAUAGAGAGCGGGCACAAGGGCUCAUAGAACAAGUGAGCCUUUUCUUUUCUUUUGUAUAUAAAAUAUAUAUUU